This 247-nucleotide unclassified non-coding RNA is filed under the name Hevea brasiliensis (rubber tree). The record is from RNAcentral. Lineage: Eukaryota; Viridiplantae; Streptophyta; Magnoliopsida; Malpighiales; Euphorbiaceae.
AGGAGUUCUUGAUUCCUAUGACCCCAUUAAAAAGAAGCACAAGGUGAGAUGGCCCCAGCUUAACCCUACUUUAGCCAUUCCAAAAUGCUCAUCCCUGUUAGAGUAAUUGGCAAUCACAGAACAUUUCAGAAUCAUCUUAAUGCUUCUCUCAUUAUGACAGUUGUAUCUUCAUCUUUCAUUUCUCCAUAUUAUAGCUCAAGCGCCUUUGCUGAUGACAUUGUUUAGGUUUUGUAUGCUGAUGGGGAUG